CCAGCAAAGCCUCCCGCUGUGUCGACAAAUCCCGAUAGGAGCUGCACAUAUCUCGUUCUCAGGGCACACCGGAUGAGCAAGACGUCGGGUUGGCAUAGACCCUGGUUGCCCAGGGGGCGCCAGACAUCGCUCGGUUUGGACCAGCACUUAGACAAGCACUGGCCCGGGGGGGCUAAAAUAAAGAUGACCCUCGGGUUGGCCGACCCAAGGGAAAGGGAUAGGUGGUGGUGAGGCAAAUGGUAAAACCAAGGUUGGGCCUUGCUGGACAAGUUUUAUUCAAAGCGAACUGUCAGGGGGGUCCCAUAAAUCACCCGACCGCGUUAGGAACGCAAAAUCCGGGAACAUAACACCGGUAUGACGGAAACUAGGGCGGCAAGAGUGGAACAAAACACCAGGCAUAAGGCCGAGCCUUCCACCCUUUACCAAAUAUAUAGAUGCAUUAAAAAUAUAAGAGAUAUUGUGAUAUCCCAACCAAAAUCCUGUCCACCAUGGAGAAAUCUUCAACUUCACCUGCAACUAGCAACGCUAUAAGAGGGGCUGAGCAAAAGCGGUAACAUAGCCAAACAGUGGUUUGCAUAGGAAAGGUGUCAAAGGUUAGAGGUUCAUGGCAAUAUGGGAUGGCUGGACAAAAAGGCAAUAGGUAGCGCAGCAUAGCGAAAGAACGAGGCAACUAGCAUAGCAAUGAUAGUAGUGAGAUCCAGGGUAGCGGUCAUCUUGCCUGAAAUCCCGCAAGGAAGAAGAACGAGUCCAUGAAGAAGACGAACGGGAGAAGUCGAAUGAAUCCUCACAAUCGCAAC
This 797-nucleotide ribosomal RNA is filed under the name Triticum aestivum (bread wheat). RNAcentral describes it as "partial small subunit ribosomal RNA". Lineage: Eukaryota; Viridiplantae; Streptophyta; Magnoliopsida; Poales; Poaceae. The record is from RNAcentral.